AAAUCAAUAUAAACUGAUUUUGAGUAAUAUUUAUUUAUUUAUUUUUAUUUUUGUUAUUAUAAUUUAUUAAAAAUAAUUAUAUAAUUUAAAUGUUUUAGUAAUUUUUAAUGAAAAAAUAAUAUUUAUAAUAGUUAAUUAUGUAUUGUGAAAGAAUCUUGAAAUAUUUUGAAAAAUUUUUAUAUAAAAAGAAAAUUUUUUUUAUUGUACCUUGUGUAUCAGGGUUUAUUAAAUAAUUAAUAUAUAUAUAUAUUAAUCUCGAUUUUAUAAGAGUUAAUAGUUUAUGAAAGUUAAUGUAUCAAAAUUAUUUUAAAUAAACUAUUAGAAAUGAAAUGUUAUUCGUUUAUAAAGGUAUCUAGUUUUUUUAGAAAUAAAUUUAAUUUACAAUUUUUUAAUUUUUUGUUUAUUUUUUAAAGUAAAAAAAUUAUUAAAUUGAAUAUUUUAAGGGAUAAGCUUUAGAAUAAAUUAUUAAAAAUUAAUAAUUAUCUUAUAAAAUGUAUGCUUAGAAUUAGCAAUCAUUUAUUAGUUUGUUAUAAAUUAUUUUAUGUAGUUUAUAUAUUAUUUAUUAGUAUUUUAAAUAUAUUAUAAAAAUUUUUUUUUUAAUGUAAUUAUAGAAAGUAAUAAUGAUAAAAUUAGUAUAUUUUUAUGUUUAUAUAAUUAAUAAUGAUAAUUUUAUAUAAAGAAUUCGGCAAAUUUAUUAUACUCGCCUGUUUAACAAAAACAUGUCUUUUUGAGUUAUUUUUAAAGUCUGACCUGCCCACUGAAUAAAUUUUAAACGGCCGCAGUAUUUUAACUGUGCAAAGGUAGCAUAAUCAUUUGUCUUUUAAUUGAAGGCUGGAAUGAACGGUUGGACGAAGUAUAANCUGUUUCAUAUAAAUUUAUAGUAGAAUUUUAUAUUUUAGUUAAAAAGCUAAAAUUUAAUUAAAAGACGAGAAGACCCUAUAAAUCUUUAUAUUUUGUAUUAUUUAGAUUUUAUUGAUAUAUUUUAUCUUUAUAUUAUAAAUUAUUUUGUUGGGGUGAUAUUAAAAUUUAAUUAACUUUUAAUUUUAUUUAUUCAUUGAUUUAUGUUUAAUUGAUCCGUUAAUAACGAUUAUAAUAUUAAGUUACUUUAGGGAUAACAGCGUAAUUUUUUUGGAGAGUUCUUAUUGAUAAAAAAGUUUGCGACCUCGAUGUUGGAUUAAGAGAUAUUUUUAGGUGUAGCUGCUUAAAUAUAAAGUCUGUUCGAGCUUU
This 1227-nucleotide ribosomal RNA is filed under the name Acidiella pachypogon. RNAcentral's name for it is "partial 16S ribosomal RNA". The record is from RNAcentral. Lineage: Eukaryota; Metazoa; Arthropoda; Insecta; Diptera; Tephritidae.